RNAcentral lists this non-coding RNA (165 nucleotides) under human gut metagenome. RNAcentral describes it as "Lysine riboswitch". It matches the Rfam family "Lysine riboswitch aptamer". Rfam says of the family: Riboswitches are metabolite binding domains within certain messenger RNAs that serve as precision sensors for their corresponding targets. Allosteric rearrangement of mRNA structure is mediated by ligand binding, and this results in modulation of gene expression. The record is from RNAcentral.
ACAGAUAGAGGUGCGAUUUGUUAUCAGUAGCUUUCGGGUGUUAACUCCGGCGGGAGGAUACCGAAAGGGAAAGGAACGGUCGCCGAAGACAGAUAUCGGCGGAUAUCGGGUCUGGUAAACCGGAAUAAUAUCCGUUUUACUGUCGCUUUUGCGGAGAGCUAUCGA